RNAcentral lists this unclassified non-coding RNA (400 nucleotides) under uncultured fungus. Its description in RNAcentral is "sequence contains ITS1". The stretch from base 1 to 105 matches the Rfam family "5.8S ribosomal RNA", at positions 50 to 154 of the family's 154-position model. The record is from RNAcentral. Lineage: Eukaryota; Fungi.
GAAAUGCGAUACGUAAUGUGAAUUGCAGAAUUCAGUGAAUCAUCGAAUCUUUGAACGCAUAUUGCGCUCUUUGGUAUUCCGAAGAGCAUGCUUGUUUGAGUAUCAGUAAACACCUCAAAACUUUUGAUUUUUUUUUUAAAAAAAAAAAGGUUUUGGACUUGAGCAAUCCCAACACCAAUCUUUUUUAGAUCGGUGGCGGGUUGCUUGAAAUGCAGGUGCAGCUGGACAUUCUCCUGAGCUAAAAGCAUAUUCAUUUAGUCCCGUCAAACGGAUUAUUACUUUUGCUGCAGCUAACAUAAAGGGAGUUUGACCGUAUUGGCUGACUGAUGCAGGAUUUCACAGGGGUCGGCAACGACGCUUGUUAAACUCGAUCUCAAAUCAAGUAAGACUACCCGCUGAA